This 3387-nucleotide long non-coding RNA is filed under the name Mus musculus (house mouse). RNAcentral describes it as "long non-coding RNA chr13:35798749-35802136". Lineage: Eukaryota; Metazoa; Chordata; Mammalia; Rodentia; Muridae. The record is from RNAcentral.
ACAGGGUAAGGCUUGUCCCGAGGCCCAGCUUUUACAAGGAGUUGCCCCACAUUUGAUGCUUCACCUUGAACUUCGUCCUUGUUUAGGAGAGAGCGCCCUCUGCUGAAGGAGCCUGAUUCAGAGACUCGGUUCUGCCAUCUGGUCUAAGAUUUUCCCACCUCACAGAUCACCUCCUGCCACUUGUGCUUAUGCGUUGCACUAGCUCCGAGCCCUUCUUCUCCUCGUAGUUCUCUUGGCCUUCAAAAUUGGGUUUAUUUCUGAAGAUGAGGAUUCCGCAUAGAAGCCUCAUUCACUUCCUUUCUCUUCCCUAUUAUCUCUAAGUAUGUUUCUUGUCUAAGGAAGGCUCUUACUUCCCAUCCUCCCUCCCCCGAGUAAAAAUAGCUCUGUGUUUAAGAAACACAGUUGUACCUAGGGGUAAGAGUCAGGCUGUAAUAUGGAAUACAUGGAGGAUAUGAUGACUCCUGGGAGGUAUAAGCAGAGCUGAGCCCCUUCCUAAAUCACUCUUCCAUGAUGACUCCUCCUUUGUACAGUGGUGGCUGACAUAAAUGCAGCCAUACUGCGUGCCAAGCUCCUGACUGUUUGCCUUAAGCACGUCUGGUCCCCAAGCAUUUUAGUAAAGGAUGUUCACCUUGUACCAGUGUUGGCUAGUUACACAGAUGAGCAACCCAGAGUCCAGGGAGCCCUGUCUGAGCCAGGCAGGUGUGAACCCAGGCAGCGCCUGGCCCUCCUGCCUCACCAACUUUAUCAUGUAUUUUUCUUGUUACCCUCCUUUGGCUUUGGUUUGCCAGCUCAAGCAUAUGUCAUAGUUUUUCAUAUCUUUGUAUAUAUUGUAAUUGAGGGCUGUUAGCAUACAAAAGAGCAGACUUUUAAAUCAAACUUUGGAGGUUCAAAUCCUAGCCCUUCUCAUGGUUAUCCUCCUCUGACAACAGCCUUCACCUUGUUUCUGACUUCCUCCUCUGUAGAAAGGGAAAGACAGAUUACGAUCUGUCACCUAGGGUUUUGCAGGAAUUAAAUGAGUUAAUACAUAAAGAACUCAAACCAGCAAUUGCCAAAUAAGCUCUUGAAAAUGUUAAUCAGCUGUGUUAAAUGUCAGGUACCUGCUGCGUUCUUUGUUCGUUCCGAGCCUGCUCAUGACUGAUUCAUUUAGUGCUGGAAUCAGACUUGGGCACAUUUCUCACUGAAUUGUUUUUGUUCACCGUAUGAUUUUUUUCUGUUAGUUUGAAGCCGGCAGUCCCUAGGAAGCUUUCUGGACUAGUUUCUAUUCCACGAAGUUUGUGGUGAUUGCAACAGGCAAGGAUAUUUAUUCGAGGGGAGCUCCUGUCUAGGCUGUGUGUGUCUUCCUGAUCUUUUUUCCUAGUACUAGGAACACACAGUUCCUACUGGCUGCUGGCUUUAGCAUAUCACCCAUAUCUGGGUACAUUGCUUGAUGCAGGUGUCAAUCAACUUCUUCAGCUUGGAGCUGGUUACCCUUGCUUUAUAGAUGAGGAAAUGGCAGUUUUUCCAGUAGCAGACCCAGGGAUAGUCCCUGGAACUUUACUGUACAUUUUCAAGUCUUUUGGCGAAGGUGGCUACUUUUCCUGCUGCCAUUUUCAUAAAAGAACAUCUUUAUCACGGGCUUUGGCGUUAGAUAAUUAUGUUUACACUGCAACUUAUAUUUAUGGGACUCGAGGCAGUCUGUGGUGUUCAGGGAGUCAAGGUGCACCUGUGCGUAGAACAAACCCCUUUGCUGCACCCCACAUAGUUGGGCUGAAGUUUGACUUUUGUGGACACAGGGUCACAAGAUCAAGCUUACGCUAGCAACUGUUUUGAACUGUGAUUUGGGCAAGAUAGCUAUCAAGAGUAUUGGUUCCCUCUUCUUGAGUUGCUGUGGAUGCCUUUGUGGGCACAAGCCUUACAGCUCGUGUGGACACACAAAACUCUCCAGGAUGCAAACUAAGAAGCCCUCAGACUGGCAUACAUCCUGAAGGUCUAAGCUCUGAGAGAUGUGUAUAAGUUCUGCUGUUUUGUUUUUGUCAAGCACGUAGGAUGAGCCCAUGAGACUAUUAAUUGUGCUUUAAGAACUAUUAAACGUGCCUUAGUGAAUGAGAUUUCAGCUGGUAACAACUGACUGCAGCAACUUUUACUUUUCUAAAAGGAACUCAUCUUUACCUGGACCUAGAACUGUUAGUAUUAUAUGAAGCAGUGUUACUUACAGCUACUCAGUGAAAUAACUCAUUAUUAUAACACAUGAUCUAGCUAGGAAACAAAUAGCUCACACUCCUAACUUAGGGGCAGCUUGUUCUAAUAAAUAUAAAAGCCUGUUGUAGAUAACAGUGUGAGCUAUCAGGAUAGCUCGUUAAUUUGUUCACCUUUAGUUUGCAAGCCUUUCUCAUAAAUAGCUGAAAAGAUGGCAUUUUUUCUUGCGCUUGUGCGGGUCUCAUCAGCUUUACCUUCUUCUGAAGACUGGUCAGUUCCUCCCUGGCUAAGUCAAGCAAGGCGUGUCUGCAUGUGGAGCGUCUGCCCUGCUUCAUGAUUAACAUAGAAAGGCCGUGCAUGAUUUUCUUGUUCUUUGGAGCAAAGAUGAGGUUACUUCAUGGUCAAGAGGAGAGGCUCACGGUCCUCACCAGCUUCCUUGUCAUUUGUAGUUAGCCUCACUCCUGACUGAGCCAUCCGGACUCUGACAAACAGGGUUUCCUGUUGUAAAAAGGCUCUCUCCAUGAGGCUGAGUGAUGAAAAGUUUCUCCAAGGAAGCCAUUGUUUUCCACAAAUAUAUCAAAAGCAAUUUUAAAAAAAAUUAAGCCACAUUUCUUAGGUUUGUAUAGGUGUAUAAAACUCAGGGCUGAAACAGGCUGGCCUUACUGCUGCAUCCAUCCCCUGGCCUCUUGUGGGACUUGAAACCAUUUGCAAAGGCACAAGAAGCUUGCUUGUGUGUUUCUGAAGAAGACAGGACCUAGUUUUUUUUGUUUUGUUUUUUGUUUUGUUUUGUUUUUUUUUUUUAAAGAUUUGGAAAUAAUGGUGGCUAAGAAGAUACCAUUGUUGUUUGUUUGUUUUUUAAUAUAUAUUUUCAAAUUGAAGUAUACUGAAACCUUAAGCCAAUUCGAUCUGGACCUAAGCUCUUGCCUUAAAGCACAGAAGAGCAAAGCUGAGCUAGAUUUUGGCUGCACAGGAGGAGGGAGAUCUCCUAAGAAGACCCCACAGUAGCACCAAGUGUAGAGGGGCUCAGCAGCAAUUGGGAGCAAGAAGCCAAGGAAAUAGCUAUUCUUCUAGACCCCUUCCCGAUGGAAGUCAGCUGUCAACCAGUACAGUCCAGGUAGAAUAGAUACCUCCAAACAAGCCCUGGGAGUCUUUACCACUGGUAGAUUCUCGUCAUCAAAAGAUAUUUUGGAGGAAAAAGAAGAAACCAGAGCC